GUCGAACGAGAAAGUCCUUCGGGGCGAGUACAGUGGCGCACGGGUGAGUAACGCGUAGAUGAUAUGCCUUUUAGUGGGGGACAACAUCGUGAAAACGGUGCUAAUACCGCAUAAGCUUAGUGACAUUGAAAAAACUAAGGAAAGGGGGCUCCGGCUCUCGCUGGAAGAUUGGUCUGCGUGACAUUAGCUUGUUGGUGGGGUAAUGGCCUACCAAGGCAACGAUGUCUAACUGGUCUGAGAGGAUGAUCAGUCACACUGGAACUGAGACACGGUCCAGACUCCUACGGGAGGCAGCAGUAGGGAAUAUUGCACAAUGGGGGAAACCCUGAUGCAGCAAUGCCACGUGAGUGAGGAAUGCCUUCGGGUUGUAAAGCUCUGUCCUAUAGGAAGAACGGUUUAUCGGUUAAUACCCGGUUUAUUUGACGGUACUAUAGAAGAAAGCACCGGCUAACUCCGUGCCAGCAGCCGCGGUAAUACGGAGGGUGCAAGCGUUGUUCGGAUUUAUUGGGCGUAAAGCGCGCCCAGNCGGACUACCAAGUCAAAUGUGAAAUCUCGGGGGCUCACCUCGAACCUGCGUCUGAACUGUUAGCCUAAAAUUCCAAAGGGGGAAGGGGAAUUUCCCGUGUAAGGGGUAAAUCCCUAAAGAU
This 647-nucleotide ribosomal RNA is filed under the name uncultured bacterium. RNAcentral describes it as "bacterial SSU rRNA". It matches the Rfam family "Bacterial small subunit ribosomal RNA", at positions 61 to 697 of the family's 1533-position model. The record is from RNAcentral.